GGGGAAUAUUGCACAAUGGGCGCAAGCCUGAUGCAGCCAUGCCGCGUGUGUGAAGAANGCUCUAGGGUUGUAAAGCACUUUCAGCGAGGAGGAAAGGUUGACGAUUAAUACUCGUCAGCUGUGUCGUUACUCGCAGAAGAAGCACCGGCUAACUCCGUGCCAGCAGCCGCGGUAAUACGGAGGGUGCGAGCGUUAAUCGGAACUACUGGGCGUAAAGCGUGCGUAGGCGGCUGCCUAAGUUGGAUGUGAAAGCCCCGGGCUCAACCUGGGAACUGCAUCCCAAAACUGGGCAGCUAGAGUGCGGAAGAAGA
RNAcentral lists this ribosomal RNA (311 nucleotides) under uncultured Gammaproteobacteria bacterium. RNAcentral's name for it is "bacterial SSU rRNA". It matches the Rfam family "Bacterial small subunit ribosomal RNA", at positions 356 to 658 of the family's 1533-position model. The record is from RNAcentral. Lineage: Bacteria; Pseudomonadati; Pseudomonadota; Gammaproteobacteria.